ACAGGAUUCCCACAAGCACCACUGCUGCUGGAGAACAUUAGGUUUUAGUAGAUGGGGUGGUCUAGUGUGUUACUCUUAGUGUUCUAACCCUGUGGCUUUCUACUGCGAAAGGAGAAGAUUCAACAAAGACAUGCGGGCCUCCUCCACCUAUUGACCAUGGGGACAUCACCUCCUUCCCCUUACCAGUAUAUGCACCAUUAUCAUCAGUUGAAUAUCAGUGCCAGUCCUUUUACCAACUUCAGGGCAAGAAGAAAAUAACAUGUAGAGAUGGAGAGUGGUCAAAGAAGCCAAAAUGUUUAAAUCCAUGCAUAGUAUCAGAAGAAAUUAUGGAAAAACAUAACAUAAUUUUCCGAUGGAAAGAAAAAUAAAAGCGGUACUACAAAUCAGGGGAAAUGCAAGAAUUUAAGUGUAAAAAUUGAUAUCACCUGGCAACAUCUCAACUAUCCCAGACAUUUUGCAUCGAUGGUCACAUCAAUUAUCCUACUUGCACAAAAUCACACUAAAAACAUUAGUAGAAUUAAGUCACAUACCUUUGCUCAAUUAAGGUGCAUGCAUAUUAUCAAUAGUUUUAAUUUUACUUUUGAAGUAUUGCUUAACUAAAUUUUAUUCAUAAGUAUAAGCUUGUAUUAUUAUAUUGUGAUUAAUCUGGCAGCAGAAAGUGCUGACACAAAGUCACAAGCAGUUUAUUCAAAGUUCCCAAAACAUGAUGUGUCUCGGAAUAGAUGCAAUUGCUUCCCCAUCUUUCUCUAUCCACCACUUUCCCAAAGCUUCUUCUAUACUUUCUGAUAUACAGUUCUGAUUCACAGUGAACACGAGACAUAGUGUCUCAGUCCUCAAAAAUACAACAUUUCAUAAUCUGAAAGAACAAAAUGUCAUGCUUUAUAUUACUAAUGAAAAUAAGUAAUUUGUGCAUUUUUGUUUUUGUUGCUAAUUAAUAAAUAGGAAGAAUUUGGUGAAUUAACUUCCAAAUAUAAUACUUUUAUAAUUUUAAAUAUUCAAGUAAUUAUACAAAAGACUUAAAUUUGAAUUGGGUAUAAGCAUGCAUUGACUAUCACAAUAUUUUUUUACAGUUAAAGAUUUUUAUUAAAAUAUGAUAGUUUCUUUUCAUCACAUCAGAUCAUUUUUAUUAUAAAGCUAAAAAUAUGCAACACCUGUCUUACUCUUGCUUGGUCUGUUUAGUCCCUGCUGAACUUUUGCCCUUUGACUAGCUUUUUCUCGGUCCCUCUAUUCCAGCCACGUGCUUCCCUCAGUUUUGUGCAAAGGCCACUACAAUUAAGACUUGCACCUGCUAUUCCAUAGUUACAGAUCCUUCCUACUGCUGUUUCUGAUUGAAACCUUCCAAAGCUUAUCUUCUCUUGCUUGUCUUCUUCUAUCACAAUAUUGAUGUUAAAAACCUAUGAAAAUUUUGUGUAACUUGUAAACAGGCAAGUUUUGCCCCCAAAACAAUAAAGAAAAAUGGUGUUAAAUAUAAUAAACAUAAAACCCAAGUUUGUCUUAAUAAAUGGCAGUGUUGCAAGUUGCUGC
Microtus oregoni (creeping vole) is the source of this 1524-nucleotide long non-coding RNA. RefSeq lists it as uncharacterized. Lineage: Eukaryota; Metazoa; Chordata; Mammalia; Rodentia; Cricetidae. The transcript has 3 exons. The record is from RefSeq and is a predicted model, not a curated record.